This 410-nucleotide long non-coding RNA is filed under the name Olea europaea (common olive). RNAcentral describes it as "long non-coding RNA (OEUR_LNC013416)". Lineage: Eukaryota; Viridiplantae; Streptophyta; Magnoliopsida; Lamiales; Oleaceae. The record is from RNAcentral.
UACUGACUAUGCCAAUAUUGGUAUACCCCGAGGAGUGUAUCCCGAGGACUCAAUCUAUACCCCACCUCAUUUCUCUUCUUCUAUCCUCGAGGUCAUCUAAGUCCUCGAGAUACCUUAGUCCUCGAGAUACCUCGAGGACACAUUUACAUUCCCUCAAUGUCCUCGAGAAUAGUCCUCGAGACAUACAGGUACCAACAUACCUCCUAAGACCUGGGUACCUAACUAACAAACCUAAACACCCAAGGAUUCUACAUCAACCCUAACACCACUUGUCAAACAAUUCCAUUACAAGUAGGACAUUCUUUAUAAUAGAAAUUCCCUUGGAUAAAAACAUCCAACCAACACAAUCCUACUAGGAGUACACUACCUACUCCUAUAAAAGCAGAACCUUGGGCCAUUAUUCAGGUNNN